GCUUGCUGCUUCGCUGACGAGUGGCGGACGGGUGAGUAAUGUCUGGGAAACUGCCUGAUGGAGGGGGAUAACUACUGGAAACGGUGGCUAAUACCGCAUAACGUCGCAAGACCAAAGAGGGGGACCUUCGGGCCUCUUGCCAUCAGAUGUGCCCAGAUGGGAUUAGCUUGUUGGUGAGGUAACGGCUCACCAAGGCGACGAUCCCUAGCUGGUCUGAGAGGAUGACCAGCCACACUGGAACUGAGACACGGUCCAGACUCCUACGGGAGGCAGCAGUGGGGAAUAUUGCACAAUGGGCGCAAGCCUGAUGCAGCCAUGCCGCGUGUAUGAAGAAGGCCUUCGGGUUGUAAAGUACUUUCAGCGGGGAGGAAGGUGUUGUGGUUAAUAACCGCAGCAAUUGACGUUACCCGCAGAAGAAGCACCGGCUAACUCCGUGCCAGCAGCCGCGGUAAUACGGAGGGUGCAAGCGUUAAUCGGAAUUACUGGGCGUAAAGCGCACGCAGGCGGUCUGUCAAGUCGGAUGUGAAAUCCCCGGGCUCAACCUGGGAACUGCAUUCGAAACUGGCAGGCUUGAGUCUUGUAGAGGGGGGUAGAAUUCCUGGGUAAACCGGGG
Molecule: ribosomal RNA, 613 nt
Filed under: bacterium
Lineage: Bacteria
Description: bacterial SSU rRNA
Rfam family: Bacterial small subunit ribosomal RNA
Source: RNAcentral